GGGACGAUAAGACCCUAUAGAAUUUUAUAUAAAAUAAAUUUUAUAUUAAUAUAAAAUUUAUUUUAUAUUUAAUUGGGAGAAUUAUUAAAUUUAAAAGAUUUUGAUUUUUAUAAACUUAAAUUAAAGAAAAGUUAUUGAUUUGAAAUUUUUAAUUAUUAGUAUAAAUUACCUUAGGGAUAACAGCGUAAUAUUUUUUUAUAGAUCUUAUAGAAAAAAAUGAUUGCGACCUCGAUGUUGAAUUAAGAUAAAUUUUAAAUGUAGAAGUUUAAUAAUUAAGUCUGUUCGACUUUUAAAAUCUUACAUGAUUUGAGU
Molecule: ribosomal RNA, 312 nt
Filed under: Melipona sp. B CR-2009
Lineage: Eukaryota; Metazoa; Arthropoda; Insecta; Hymenoptera; Apidae
Description: partial 16S ribosomal RNA
Rfam family: Bacterial large subunit ribosomal RNA (bases 176-312)
Source: RNAcentral